AUGAUUUCUAUGGUUUCCGGAAUGAAGAAACUGGUGACAUUAAUAUUGUUUAUAAACGAAAAGCUGGAGGAUAUGGUCUUAUCAUACCUAAAGGAGAUGGUAAGGCUGAGAAAUUGGAGCCAUUGGUUGUUGAACCAGCUAAAGAGCCAUCCUUGGCAGACUAGCUAAGCCUAUUGAAGGAAGUUCUUUUUGCAAAUUAGAUUAGACAUGCCAUGUCUGGCAAUGGUGUAUAUAAGGCCAAGGCAAGCGAAGAGGGCACUGUGUAGGAGUUGAGGUUGGGUUAAUACAAACUAAUUAUUAAGAUGGGUUUAACAUGUCUGUAUUGUUGAUUAAUUUUUGGAUGAGAAGCACUCUGAUAUCCCAACUUACAGG
RNAcentral lists this unclassified non-coding RNA (372 nucleotides) under Hevea brasiliensis (rubber tree). Lineage: Eukaryota; Viridiplantae; Streptophyta; Magnoliopsida; Malpighiales; Euphorbiaceae. The record is from RNAcentral.